This 253-nucleotide ribosomal RNA is filed under the name uncultured bacterium. RNAcentral describes it as "partial 16S ribosomal RNA". It matches the Rfam family "Bacterial small subunit ribosomal RNA", at positions 524 to 776 of the family's 1533-position model. The record is from RNAcentral.
UACGGAGGGUGCAAGCGUUAUCCGGAUUUACUGGGUUUAAAGGGUGCGUAGGUGGGUUUCUAAGUCAGUGGUGAAAUCUCCGAGCUUAACUCGGAAACUGCCAUUGAUACUAUAGAUCUUGAAUUAUCUGGAGGUAAGCGGAAUAUGUCAUGUAGCGGUGAAAUGCUUAGAUAUGACAUAGAACACCAAUUGCGAAGGCAGCUUACUACGGAUAUAUUGACACUGAGGCACGAAAGCGUGGGGAUCAAACAGG